UGGCGGACGGGUGAGUAAUGUCUGGGAAACUGCCUGAUGGAGGGGGAGUAACUACUGGAAACGGUAGCUAAUACCGCAUAACGUCGCAAGACCAAAGAGGGGGACCUUCGGGCCUCUCGCCAUCGGAUGUGCCCAGAUGGGAUUAGCUAGUAGGUGGGGUAACGGCUCACCUAGGCGACGAUCCCUAGCUGGUCUGAGAGGAUGACCAGCCACACUGGAACUGAGACACGGUCCAGACUCCUACGGGAGGCAGCAUG
This 257-nucleotide ribosomal RNA is filed under the name uncultured bacterium. RNAcentral describes it as "partial 16S ribosomal RNA". It matches the Rfam family "Bacterial small subunit ribosomal RNA", at positions 96 to 353 of the family's 1533-position model. The record is from RNAcentral.